RNAcentral lists this ribosomal RNA (351 nucleotides) under uncultured bacterium. Its description in RNAcentral is "bacterial SSU rRNA". It matches the Rfam family "Bacterial small subunit ribosomal RNA", at positions 28 to 385 of the family's 1533-position model. The record is from RNAcentral.
GAUGAACGCUAGCGGGAGCCUAAUACAUGCAAGUCGAGCGGUAGAGUGACUUCGGUUGCUUGAGAGCGGCGCACGGGUGAGUAACGCGUACAUGACCUACCUUUAAGACUGGGAUAGCCCUGGGAAACUGGGAUUAAUACCGGAUGUGAUAAUACGUAUAGAGAUGUAUUAUUAAAGUUGAGGCGCUUAGAGAUGGAUGUGCGUCUGAUUAGCUAGUUGGUAGGGUAACGGCCUACCAAGGCGACGAUCAGUAGGGGGCUGAGAGCGUGGCCCCCCAACGGGUACUGAGACACGGACCCGACUCCUACGGGAGGCAGCAGUAAGGAAUAUUGGUCAAUGGACGGAAGUCUG